GCCCUGCUCCACUCCAGCCGUGUCCUCUAGGGGAUCGCUGCCACCUUUUACCUAGGCCUCCCCACCAUGGCCUCUGCCAGAGCCAGCUCCUUGUGGGCCCAUGUGGAAAUGAGACCUCCAGAUCCCAUCCUGGGAACCACCAAAGCCUUUAAGAGGGAAAUCAACAGCAAAAAGAUGAAUCUGGGAGUUGGUGCCUACCGGGACAAUAAGAGACCCCAUUUGGGGACAAGCUGAAUUUUCCAAGGCAUCUGCAGAACCAGCCUUGGGUGAGAAGAGCAAAGUGUUGAAAAGUGGCCAGUCUGUCACUGUGUGGAUCAUUUCUGGAACUGGGGUUUAAGGGUUGGAGCCAGUUUUGUGCAAAGAUUUUUAAAGUUUUUGAAGACAGAGAUGUCUCUGUCCAAACCACCCUGGGGAAAUCACACACCUAUCUUCAGGGUAGCUGGCAUGCAACUACAAGAUUAUCAAUUCUAUAACCCCAAGACUUGCAGUUUUGACUUCACGGGUGCUAUGGAGGACAUUUCAAAAAUACCAGAGCAAAGUGCUCUUCUCCUGCAUGCCUGGGACCCUCAUGCAAAGCAGUGAAAGGAAAUAAUAAUAGUGGCAAAGAAAAAGAAACUGCGUUCUUUGAUAUGGCCUACCAAGGCUUUGCCAGUGGUGAUGGUAACAAGGAUGCCUGGGCUGUGUGCAACUUCAUUGAACAGAGCAUUAAUGUUUGUCUCUGUCAAUCAUGUGCCAAGAACAUGGGCUUUAUAUGGUCAGUGUAUGAGAGCCUUCACUGUGAUCUGCAAAGACAGUGAAUGAAACCAAAAGAGGGGAGUCAGUUGAAGAUCCUGAUCCAUCCCAUGUAUUCCAACCCUUCUCUCAGUGGGGCCUGUAUUGCCUCUACCAUUCUGAACAGCCUGGGUUUGUGAAAAUAAUGGUUGCAAGAAGUGAAAAUCAUGGCCAACUGCAUUACUAGCAUGCAGACUCAGCUGAUCUCCAACUGCAGUAAGGAGAGUUCCUCACACAUCUGACAACACAUGACUGACUAAAUUGGCAUGCUUUGUUUCACAAGGCUAAAGCCUGAACAGGUGGAGAAGCUAACCAAGGGGUUUUCCAUCUGUAUGACAAAGGAUGACUGCAUCCCUGUGGCAGGGAUCACCUCCAGCAACACGGGUAAUCUUGCCUAUGCCAUUCACCAGGUCACCAAG
This 1190-nucleotide long non-coding RNA is filed under the name Homo sapiens (human). RNAcentral describes it as "non-protein coding lnc-MID1-3:1". The record is from RNAcentral. Lineage: Eukaryota; Metazoa; Chordata; Mammalia; Primates; Hominidae.